CAAUGGCGUAUAUUAAAGUUGUUGCAGUUAAAAAGCUCGUAGUUGGAUUUGUGGUGUACUUCGGCGGCCCGUCACUAUGUGAUGGAGCUUGCUGAAGUCGCCAUCCUUGGGUGGAUCCUGUGUGGCAUUAAGUUGUCGUGCAGGGGAUGCCCAUCGUUUACUGUGAAAAAAUUAGAGUGUUCAAAGCAGGCUUAUGCCGUUGAAUAUGUUAGCAUGGAAUAAUAAGAUAGGACCUUGGUACUAUUUUGUUGGUUUGCGCACCAAGGUAAUGAUUAAUAGGGACAGUUGGGGGUAUUCGUAUUUCAUUGUCAGAGGUGAAAUUCUUGGAUUUUUGAAAGACGAACUACUGCGAAAGCAUUUACCAAGGAUAUUUNCAUUA
Molecule: ribosomal RNA, 379 nt
Filed under: uncultured eukaryote
Lineage: Eukaryota
Description: partial 18S ribosomal RNA
Rfam family: Eukaryotic small subunit ribosomal RNA
Source: RNAcentral